Molecule: ribosomal RNA, 236 nt
Filed under: uncultured bacterium
Lineage: Bacteria
Description: partial 16S ribosomal RNA
Rfam family: Bacterial small subunit ribosomal RNA
Source: RNAcentral
CGGGACGGGUGAGUAACGCGCGGGUAACCUGCCCUGUACAGGGGGAUAACAAUCAGAAAUGACUGCUAAUACCGCAUAAGACCACAGCACCGCAUGGUGCAGGGGUAAAAACUCCGGUGGUACAGGAUGGACCCGCGUCUGAUUAGCUGGUUGGUGAGGUAACGGCUCACCAAGGCGACGAUCAGUAGCCGGCUUGAGAGAGUGAACGGCCACAUUGGGACUGAGACACGGCCCAA